UUACGGCUACAUCACGUUGAAACACAGGCCCCCGUACGAUCACCAAAGUUAAACAACGUCGAGACUGGUCAGUACCUAGAUAGGUGACCGCUUGGAAAUGCUAGGUUCUGUAA
Acanthosepion pharaonis is the source of this 113-nucleotide non-coding RNA. The record is from the annotation of a GenBank genome assembly. Lineage: Eukaryota; Metazoa; Mollusca; Cephalopoda; Sepiida; Sepiidae.